Carassius gibelio (silver crucian carp) is the source of this 1291-nucleotide long non-coding RNA. RefSeq lists it as uncharacterized. The transcript is spliced from 3 exons. The record is from RefSeq and is a predicted model, not a curated record. Lineage: Eukaryota; Metazoa; Chordata; Actinopteri; Cypriniformes; Cyprinidae.
CAGCAGCACUCGCUCAGCUCUGAUGGGGGAAGCCAUGUUAGUGCCGUGAGCUAUUUAAAUCACCCUAGUUUCACAACGAAAGGCUGCGACUAGCACGUUUUGGGGAGACUGAAUCGCUCCCGAAGCCCCUUCGCGCGGAAUCGGACACCCCUCUGUGUUUUUCCAACAGCACACUUUUCACCAUUAAAAUAUAGCGGCUUUUCCCAACCACUGUAAAUGAGAGCAGUCCAAAGGAUAAAGGAAACAGAGUAUCAUUUUUGCACCUAAAACAUAUGAUGUCGAAGGAUAUCGCAAGAAACAUAGCCCUACACGUGUGUGGAUGUAAUGUUUAUGAGGACUGACGCUGGUUCUCAGAAGAGAUCUUUGUGUCGCUGCAGCCAGCUGCGGUUAUUAUUUGAUCCACUGCUAUUUUUAACGCAUAUCACUCGCUCUACUAAUACACCGCAGACGUGUUUUAAAGCGUUUAUUCUAGUGGCUCUCUAGCACACAAGAGCCUGCGGGAUUUUAAGCUCUCUCGCUUUCUGUCUUUGGCCAGGAGCUUGAUAAAAUAGCUCCCCUCCCCCAAAGCUUUGGCGAAACAGGAACAACUUCUUCUUCGAGAGAAAAAAGGGCUGCACAAGUUUGGGACGUCUUGGAUCCGCCGUUUGUCCAUUUGUAGUCCGGAGCUGAGAUUUUUUUUCUUCUACACCGAUUCUUUGGGUUUUAUUGAGGAUUGUCGGCUUCCUUUGUUAGCGAGAAGGCUCUGGCAUCCAUGCUCCUGAAUUUUUUCUUUGGAAAAUGGGAUACCUCUAGGAUUAUAAUGAGGGGAAUGCGCUCGCUUGUGGAAUAACUUCACUUUUUUUCAGUGGGAAUGGAAUUGGCGGAGCCCUGAUUUAUUUUCUUUAAUUGCAAUGGGAAAAGUGCUUUAUGUGGAAUAUUUGUUGUUGUCGUGCUCCACAUGGGUGUUCGGAUAGAGUCUGUGAUCUCCUGAGCUCACUGGUUUAAUCUACAGGAGAAGAGGCGCUCACAAAUUUUCACAGUGGAAAUUAUUUGCAUGGUCUUCAGAUGAGGGAGAACGGGAGACUCUGAAACCUGAAGGGUGUUCGAGAUAUUGCUGGUGUUCUGUAUCACAGGCUUGGCUGUAGUUGUGGUAUGCCCAGAGGUGACUGAUGAUAGCAACCUACUGUCUUUUGGCCAACAAUAACUGUAGCCGAUAACUGUUGAUGGAUGAAUAAACAAAUUAUCUUGUCAGUUUUUAAAUCACGAAAACUCAAAUAUAAUCAAAAAUAAGAUGUGGAUGUGAAGUUAAUUU